UACGUAGGGUGCGAGCGUUGUCCGGAAUUACUGGGCGUAAAGAGCUCGUAGGUGGUUUGUCGCGUUGUUCGUGAAAACCGGGGGCUUAACCCUCGGCGUGCGGGCGAUACGGGCAGACUUGAGUACUGCAGGGGAGACUGGAAUUCCUGGUGUAGCGGUGGAAUGCGCAGAUAUCAGGAGGAACACCGGUGGCGAAGGCGGGUCUCUGGGCAGCAACUGACGCUGAGACGCGAAAGCGUGGGGAGCAAACAGG
This 253-nucleotide ribosomal RNA is filed under the name uncultured bacterium. RNAcentral's name for it is "partial 16S ribosomal RNA". It matches the Rfam family "Bacterial small subunit ribosomal RNA", at positions 524 to 776 of the family's 1533-position model. The record is from RNAcentral.